AGAGUUUGAUCAUGGCUCAGAUUGAACGCUGGCGGAAUGCUUUACACAUGCAAGUCGAACGGCAGCACGGACUUCGGUCUGGUGGCGAGUGGCGAACGGGUGAGUAAUAUAUCGGAACGUAUCCAAUAAUGGGGGAUAACUAACCGAAAGGUUAGCUAAUACCGCAUACGCCCUACGGGGGAAAGCAGGGGAUCUUCGGACCUUGCGUUAAUGGAGCGGCCGAUAUCUGAUUAGCUAGUUGGUGAGGUAAGAGCUCACCAAGGCGACGAUCAGUAGCUGGUCUGAGAGGACGACCAGCCACACUGGAACUGAGACACGGUCCAGACUCCUACGGGAGGCAGCAGUGGGGAAUUUUGGACAAUGGGCGCAAGCCUGAUCCAGCAAUGCCGCGUGAGUGAUGAAGGCCUUCGGGUUGUAAAGCUCUUUCGUCCGCGACGAUGAUGACGGUAGCGGAAGAAGAAGCCCCGGCUAACUUCGUGCCAGCAGCCGCGGUAAUACGA
This 500-nucleotide ribosomal RNA is filed under the name uncultured bacterium. RNAcentral describes it as "bacterial SSU rRNA". It matches the Rfam family "Bacterial small subunit ribosomal RNA", at positions 8 to 528 of the family's 1533-position model. The record is from RNAcentral.